GCACCGAUGGCCGAGUGGUUCAGGCAUUCGCCUGGUAAGCGGAGUACGCUGGUUCGAUUCCAGCUCGGAACA
Molecule: transfer RNA, 72 nt
Filed under: Leguminivora glycinivorella
Lineage: Eukaryota; Metazoa; Arthropoda; Insecta; Lepidoptera; Tortricidae
Description: tRNA-Thr
Rfam family: tRNA
About the family: Transfer RNA (tRNA) molecules are approximately 80 nucleotides in length.
Source: RNAcentral